Molecule: long non-coding RNA, 1396 nt
Organism: Artibeus jamaicensis (Jamaican fruit-eating bat)
Lineage: Eukaryota; Metazoa; Chordata; Mammalia; Chiroptera; Phyllostomidae
Exons: 2
Source: RefSeq, a predicted model, not a curated record
CGUCCGUCUGUACCGUGGGCCCAGCAGCCCCUCCAGUUCCCAGGGAGUUUGAGGGGGACAGAGACCGAGGCCCAGACUUUUGUCUGUGGUCCCUGCCUGGGGCAGGGGUGAGGGAGGAGGGGAGGCAGCUCUGUGUCACCCCCAGCUGGAAAGGAAGUCAUUUCCUCGCCCCUCCCACCGCGGCUGCAGUGGAAAAGCACAGCUGCAGGCAAGACUCGGAGGAACCUCGGGAAGCACCGUGACAGCCCCCCGGCCCUGUCUAUCAUCCCCACCCCUCCCCUGAUGUUAAUGACUUUAUUGUGUCUGGAGCAGGCCAAGGGAAAUGCCCGUCUUCCGGCCAAGUCUGCAGGUCUGGUUCAAGUGCAUGCCUCUUUGCAUUACUGCUCCAAGUAAACCUCCUGCAAGUGAUUCACAGAACAGAAUCGGUGGGAACAGAAAGAUGAUGACUCGGCAUGUGCACCAGGAAGACGAGCCGCUCGUCUGAUCAUUCCUCCUGAUUUACAGCCGGAAAGUGCGGGGAGGUCCCUCGGUCUCCGCGAGCAUUAGCGGGGACCGCCAGCAGGGACCGCCAGCAUCGGCCCACGUACCCUUGACGAACUGCGUCACCGCCGCUUUCUCCCCACAGAGCACUCUCGUGGUGUCCGCUGUCCUGGUCACCCUCUUCCAUUCCACUCGGCAGCUGAUCACGGGUCGGUGACACUCUGUGGCAGCUUCGGUGGCCGCGCACGGUUCCACCAUGGUCCAUGCGACUUACGACAGAGACUGCUGCCAGCCUGGGUACCUGGUGUCUGUCUUUGCACGAGACUUUUCACGCAGAAACUUAUUUCCUUAGGAUACUUUUCGAUAGAUUUUGUCGGGAUUUUGGUGCCUUGUGCCAAAGUGCACCCCGCUGCCCCGCCCCUCCACACUCUCCAAAAGAGACCAGCUGGCUUAUAUUGCUCCAAGGGCCGUCUUUCCUCUCUGCUUUGGCCAGCGUGGGUGUUACCAUUUAAAACAAAGGUUGCCAGUUUGACGGAAGACGCCCGGAAAGUCAUCCAUGUGCUCAGGACGUUGCUUUGGGUCUUGCGAAGGACGGCAUCUGUCACGAGCCUGUGGGCCAGGGUGCAACCCGAGAAAGGCCUGGGCCAGCUCCCGCCCAUUUUUCUACGAACGUCCUGUCCUUUGAAAACGCAUGUGUCUGUGAGGCCUCGACUGACCGUUUGUCCACAGCGUGGGAGGACACGCUCUCUCCUGCCUCCCCACUCGCUUCCCACUGGGGCUGGGGUGUCUUUAGCCGCCCGAGGGGUUUAGACACUCAUGCAGUCCCGCGUCACCCCUGUCCUUCGGUGGCGCCUGGAAAGGUCCGCCCUGUCCCCGGGUAAUAAACGAUGCCUUUGUGUCCCUGCUAUUCACCCAU